RNAcentral lists this ribosomal RNA (468 nucleotides) under uncultured bacterium. RNAcentral describes it as "partial 16S ribosomal RNA". It matches the Rfam family "Bacterial small subunit ribosomal RNA", at positions 28 to 507 of the family's 1533-position model. The record is from RNAcentral.
GACGAACGCUGGCGGCGUGCUUAACACAUGCAAGUCGAACGGAAAGGCCCUGCUUUUGUGGGGUGCUCGAGUGGCGAACGGGUGAGUAACACGUGAGUAACCUGCCCUUGACUUUGGGAUAACUUCAGGAAACUGGGGCUAAUACCGGAUAGGAGCUCCUGCUGCAUGGUGGGGGUUGGAAAGUUUCGGCGGUUGGGGAUGGACUCGCGGCUUAUCAGCUUGUUGGUGGGGUAGUGGCUUACCAAGGCUUUGACGGGUAGCCGGCCUGAGAGGGUGACCGGCCAAAUUGGGACUGAGAUACGGCCCAGACUGCAACGGGAGGCAGCAGGGGGGAAUAUUGCACAAUGGGCGGAAGCCUGAGGCAGCAACGCCGCGUGCGGGAUGACGGCCUUCGGGUUGUAAACCGAUUUCGCCUGUGACGAAGCGUGAGUGACGGUAAUGGGUAAAGAAGCACCGGCUAACUACGUG